CCUACGGGUGGCAGCAGUGAGGAAUAUUGGUCAAUGGCCGGAAGGCUGAACCAGCCAUGCCGCGUGAAGGUCAGUGCCCUAUGGGCGUUACACUUCUUUUGUGCGGGAGCAAUAAUGGUCACGUGUGGCCAGACGAGAGUACUGAACGAAUAAGCAUCGGCUGACUCAUUGCCAGCAGCCGCGGUAAUACGGGGGAUGCAAGCGUUAUCCGGAUCUAUUGGGGUUAAAGGGUGCGUAGGCUGGGAGGUAAGUCAGCGGGGAAAUGCCUCCGCUCAACGGGGUGAAGUGCCAUUGAUACUGGCUUGCUGGAAUGCGGAUGCCGUUGGAGGAAUGUGUGGUGUAGCGGUGAAAUGCAUAGAGAUCACACAGAACACCGAUUGCGAAGGCAUCUCACGAAUCCGCGAUUGACGCUGAUGCACGAAAGCGUGGGUAUCAAACAGGAUUAGAUACCCUGGUAGUC
RNAcentral lists this ribosomal RNA (460 nucleotides) under uncultured bacterium. RNAcentral's name for it is "partial 16S ribosomal RNA". It matches the Rfam family "Bacterial small subunit ribosomal RNA", at positions 338 to 795 of the family's 1533-position model. The record is from RNAcentral.